GUUUGGACCCUCCAGAAAGGGGCCAGGAGGCAGGGGCUUCCCUGGGACUGCCCUCCAUGCCUCCCCCGCUGACCACCCUGCAAGCCAAGAGCCGUCCACACCAGCAUCGCAAGGCCCCACAAAGCGGGGCGCAUAGACAGCGUGGCUGGUGGAGCCGAGCCCACAGGGACACACGGGGAGCCGUCUUUCUCCAGUGGCAGGUGACACGGCUAGGACGCAGCUCACGAAGCCACGCGUCCACCCCGCGGCACCCUGGGCAGAUCAGGGCCUCUCCUGAAAUCAGAAAGUGCGCUGCGGCCUGACCGACUUCAGUCCCCCAGGUCAAAGCCUUUCCUCCCCGCCCGACAGAACCUGGGCUGGCGCCUCCGGUGGAGAAGGGGGUGGGCUCCUCGCCCCUCUCCUUCUUUCCUUGCUGCUUCUCUUGAUUGGCUCCCCCGAGGGGAUGAAGGAGGAGGGCGGGCUCCCCCUCCUGCCACCCACAACCGUGGCUGCCCCCAUGAUGUUGUCUCCAGCAGGGCCCCUCCCCAGCAGCGUACCCACGGCUUCCUGCUGCUGCUUCCCCGAGCCACCCCUAUUGGACCCCAGAAGGGGCUCCCCAGCUGCCUGGAUCAGAAGCAGGGAGCCCUGUCCAAGGCCGGGCCGGGCUGUGCAGGGCGGGCGCCUCCCACCCGUGCGCGACGGCCAAGGGCCUCUCGGGGGGAGCGGACUCUUCCCCACAGGCUUCUGGGCCGUGUUCUUGAAACACUGGCCGGCUGUCCUCUCCAGGGGCCUUAUUCUAAGGCUGAUGCUGAGGCGCCCGGGGGGCUCAGUCGGUUGAGCGUCCGACUUCGGCUCACGUCAUGAUCUCGCAGUUUAUGAGUUCGA
Molecule: long non-coding RNA, 864 nt
Organism: Leopardus geoffroyi (Geoffroy's cat)
Lineage: Eukaryota; Metazoa; Chordata; Mammalia; Carnivora; Felidae
Exons: 3
Source: RefSeq, a predicted model, not a curated record